This 253-nucleotide ribosomal RNA is filed under the name uncultured bacterium. Its description in RNAcentral is "partial 16S ribosomal RNA". It matches the Rfam family "Bacterial small subunit ribosomal RNA", at positions 524 to 776 of the family's 1533-position model. The record is from RNAcentral.
UACGUAGGUGGCAAGCGUUGUCCGGAAUUAUUGGGCGUAAAGCGCGCGCAGGUGGUUUCUUAAGUCUGAUGUGAAAGCCCACGGCUCAACCGUGGAGGGUCAUUGGAAACUGGGGAACUUGAGUGCAGGAGAGAAGAGUGGAAUUCCACGUGUAGCGGUGAAAUGCGUAGAUAUCAAGAGGAACACCCUGAGGUGAAGACGGGUUGCUAGGCUGACACUGACGCUGAGGCGCGAAAGCCAGGGAGCAAACGGG